AGACGUAGGGGGCAAGCGUUGUCCGGAAUUACUGGGCGUAAAGGGCGUGUAGGCGGCUUUGCAAGUCAGUGGUGAAAAACCUGGGCUCAACCGAGGUAUUGCCGUUGAAACUGCAUGGCUUGAGGGUAGAAGAGGAGUGUGGAAUUCCAGGUGUAGCGGUGAAAUGCGUAGAGAUCUGGAGGAACACCAGUGGCGAAGGCGGCACUCUGGUCUACCCCUGACGCUGAGGCGCGAAAGCUAGGGGAGCAAACAGGAUUAGAUACCCUGGUAGUCCUAGCCGUAAACGAUGGGCACUAGGUGUAGGAGGUUUAGAUACCUUCUGUGCCGUAGCUAACGCAUUAAGUGCCCCGCCUGGGGAGUACGGUCGCAAGGCUGAA
This 377-nucleotide ribosomal RNA is filed under the name uncultured bacterium. RNAcentral's name for it is "bacterial SSU rRNA". It matches the Rfam family "Bacterial small subunit ribosomal RNA", at positions 523 to 898 of the family's 1533-position model. The record is from RNAcentral.